GAGUUGCGUGACAUACCUGUGUCUGCCACCUGUAUUUCUAUCACGUCAGAUGAAAGAAGUACAAGUGGUAGGGAAGGGUGUGUCGAUUGACAA
This 93-nucleotide microRNA precursor is filed under the name Nematostella vectensis (starlet sea anemone). Its description in RNAcentral is "microRNA nve-mir-2023 precursor". Lineage: Eukaryota; Metazoa; Cnidaria; Anthozoa; Actiniaria; Edwardsiidae. The record is from miRBase by way of RNAcentral.